RNAcentral lists this long non-coding RNA (624 nucleotides) under Phasianus colchicus (ring-necked pheasant). Its description in RNAcentral is "lncRNA (ENSPCLG00000005088.1)". The record is from RNAcentral. Lineage: Eukaryota; Metazoa; Chordata; Aves; Galliformes; Phasianidae.
AUGCUGCAGCGCUCCUCGCGGUCUGCGCGCUUUGCUCCCGCCCGUGUAGAGCCUUUCUUCUGGUGCGGGGUGCCGGACCCUUCAUGGGGACCGAUUUCAUCCGUUUUAGUGAGUUUCGAUGUACCCGCGCUAGGAGAUAGCGGACAGAGUCCCUUUGAGAACCGAUGUAAAGUGGUUUUCAAACUUCUGUUGGAAGGCACAGUUCCUUUGUACGAAAUCUCUGUAUGUGGAAGGUGGAGUAAUUUACUGCUGUGUGAUGGUCAUCAGCUCAUUAAUGGAGCUAGAAGUAAGAACUAUGAAGACUUCAAAAAACAUAACUCCGUAGAGUUGCUUGCUCUGCUACCAUGAGCUGAGAAGAAUCAGUUCUUUACAGUGAAGACAGAUUAAAUGUACAACCUUGAGUCCUUCCAUGGAGCAACGAGAUGCAUCAGUACCUUGUCAUCUGUGAAGGCAUGGCGUUACCCACAUUUGUUUUGGACUAUGCGGAUUAUAUUAUUACUGUAUAUCAUGUUCUUUCACAUCAGCUAUCAUCUCACUUAAAUAUUAUUGUCCUUUUCUGAGAAUUGUCUAUAAUCUGCUAUACAGCAGAAUAAAGUUUUACUAUCGUGAAAUAGCUCUGCUUAG